Molecule: ribosomal RNA, 490 nt
Filed under: uncultured bacterium
Lineage: Bacteria
Description: partial 16S ribosomal RNA
Rfam family: Bacterial small subunit ribosomal RNA
Source: RNAcentral
GAUGAACGCUAGCUACAGGCUUAACACAUGCAAGUCGCGGGGCAGCAUGGGGGUUGCUUGCAAUCCCCGAUGGCGACCGGCGCACGGGUGAGUAACGCGUAUCCAACCUGCCCUUCACCACGGGAUAACCCGGCGAAAGUCGGACUAAUACCGUAUGUUGUCCAUUGACGGCAUCCGAUUUGGACGAAAGGCUUGGCGGUGAGGGAUGGGGAUGCGUCCGAUUAGCCAGACGGCGGGGUAACGGCCCACCGUGGCUACGAUCGGUAGGGGUUCUGAGAGGAAGGUCCCCCACACUGGAACUGAGACACGGUCCAGACUCCUACGGGAGGCAGCAGUGAGGAAUAUUGGUCAAUGGGCGUAAGCCUGAACCAGCCAAGUAGCGUGCAGGAUGACGGCCCUAUGGGUUGUAAACUGCUUUUAUGCGGGGAUAAAGUGGCCCACGUAUGGGCUUUUGCAGGUACCGCAUGAAUAAGGACCGGCUAAUUCCGUG